GAUGAACGCUGGCGGCGUGCCUAAUACAUGCAAGUCGAGCGAACAGACGAGGAGCUUGCUCCUCUGACGUUAGCGGCGGACGGGUGAGUAACACGUGGAUAACCUACCUUUAAGACUGGGAUAACUUCGGGAAACCGGAGCUAAUACCGGAUAAUAUAUUGAACCGCAUGGUUCAAUAGUGAAAGACGGUUUUGCUGUCACUUAUAGAUGGAUCCGCGCCGCAUUAGCUAGUUGGUAAGGUAACGGCUUACCAAGGCGACGAUGCGUAGCCGACCUGAGAGGGUGAUCGGCCACACUGGAACUGAGACACGGUCCAGACUCCUACGGGAGGCAGCAGUAGGGAAUCUUCCGCAAUGGGCGAAAGCCUGACGGAGCAACGCCGCGUGAGUGAUGAAGGUCUUCGGAUCGUAAAACUCUGUAAUUAGGGAAGAACAAAUGUGUAAGUAACUAUGCACGUCUUGACGGUACCUAAUCAGAAAGCCACGGCUAACUACGUG
RNAcentral lists this ribosomal RNA (497 nucleotides) under uncultured bacterium. RNAcentral's name for it is "partial 16S ribosomal RNA". It matches the Rfam family "Bacterial small subunit ribosomal RNA", at positions 28 to 507 of the family's 1533-position model. The record is from RNAcentral.